UACGUAGGGUGCAAGCGUUGUCCGGAAUUAUUGGGCGUAAAGGGCGCGUAGGCGGCCUGUUAAGUCGAACGUGAAAUCCCUGGGCUCAACCCAGGAACUGCGUCCGAUACUGGCAGGCUUGAAUUCGGGAGAGGGAUGCGGAAUUCCAGGUGUAGCGGUGAAAUGCGUAGAUAUCUGGAGGAACACCGGUGGCGAAGGCGGCAUCCUGGACCGAUAUUGACGCUGAGGCGCGAAAGCGUGGGGAGCAAACAGG
This 253-nucleotide ribosomal RNA is filed under the name uncultured bacterium. Its description in RNAcentral is "partial 16S ribosomal RNA". It matches the Rfam family "Bacterial small subunit ribosomal RNA", at positions 524 to 776 of the family's 1533-position model. The record is from RNAcentral.